Molecule: long non-coding RNA, 2641 nt
Organism: Mus musculus (house mouse)
Lineage: Eukaryota; Metazoa; Chordata; Mammalia; Rodentia; Muridae
Product: predicted gene, 35176
Exons: 2
Source: RefSeq, a predicted model, not a curated record
CCUAAAGAUCCAGAAAUUUCCAAGUGCUAUAAUCUGAGGCAGGCAACCGAGCCUCUAACUCAUGGGCCUUGAGAGACAGAUAUGGAACAGCAGCAGUCUGAAUAGGACAUAAAGGUGUGGGUUACCCUGGCAAGGUGCCUUGAAGGGUGCAGCACUUGCACCUAAGUUCAGAUCCCGAGCACCCGUAUCAGCUGGGUAGGAAGGCAGCUCAGGUCUGUAACCUCAAAUCUGGGGAAUGAGACAGGUAAAUCCCUCAAUCUUGCUGGCCUGCCAGCCUAGCUCAACCAAGGAACUCUGAAUUCAGCGAGAGAGAGACUCUGUCCCAAAACGGAAUAUGGAAAGUAACGAAGUAGCACGAAGGACUUCAAAAUCUGGCUUCUCAUGUACACAUCAGCACAUAUGUGUACACAUAUACAAAAGGUAGGCAAAGGGAACCCCCCCUCAAGGAUUAUAUAAUCAAUAUAGCCCACAUAAACGACACAAAAGCUUGGUAUUUUAUUUGACAAGCGGUAAGCCUAGAUUGGGCAGGUUUUGAGCUAUUCUAAUGUACAUCUAAUCCAUAAGUCCCGUGUUACUUGCUGUCUAUGUCUCUCUAUUUCUGUUACAUCAGCCUGUCCCCAAGGGCCACUUCUUCUGGCCAUGUAUUCAUGACCCAUCAGCAUCAUGGCAGCCCCCUGUUCUCCCUUCUGUCCCCUCCUUUCUCCUGUUCUCUCCUGAGACCCCUCACUGGAUUCUCAGGUUCUGCCUUUCGCUACUGCCCAAUCACAGACUCCAGCCUUUUAUUAACCAUAACUUUAAAUUUGGGAACAAGGUUUAGACAAUAAAGGCCAGUGUACAUGAGAAUUCACUUGUCCAGGGCCAACCAGAUUUGGGGGUUCAGAAUUUAGCAUUUGAAUACAUAGCAGCACCAGAUCAGUUAUUUGUUGUCAGUCACAUUUAUUUAAUCAGUUAGAGAAUAAGAUGUGCAAAGUUUACAAAGCAUCACUUGGUGUACCUGAGGAUCUGCUCCUGGGGGCGACCAGAUCUUGGGGUCCAGUGUUUAGCAUUUGAAAACACAGCAGCACCAGACCAACACAUACAUUCUCUCUCAAUCUCUCUCUCUCUCUCUCUCUCUCUCUCUCUCUCUCUCUCUCUCUCUCUCUCUCUCUCUUCCCCUUGGCGCUGAAAUAUCACUCUUUUCCUGUCUUCGGCAUCAGGAUCAACAUUUCUGGAUCUUGGGGUUUUGAGCCGAAACUUAACAACAGCAGCUCAGGCAUCUGAACUAAGUUGCACUACUGGCUUUUGGAUGGCAGGCCUGGUUAAUUGCAUAAGUCAAUGCCAUACUAAGUUUCCUCUUACUGUGCCUAUAGUUCCUAUAGGAACUCUGAUAAAUACAAUCACCGUCAAUGAAAAUACCUAAGCUUAAUUGAUGAAUGGGUAAAAGGCUGCUGUGUUUGCACUGUGUAGUUGUUAUCUGUAGUUUGAAACAUUACUUGUAGUAGUAGCAGGAAACCUUGUAACUAGUGGGAAAGCCACAAGACUCCUCAUCAGCUGUUGGGAAGGGGAGACUCUGUGACCUGUCCAGCUGCCGGCAAGUCUGCAAGCCCUGCGUGCAGCUCCAGUGAUGCCCCUGGAUGGAGUUGCCACCCAGUCUGGAGUGGGCUUUGCACUGAUGCAGCUACCAAGUCGUGCCUGUUUCUGUAAGUAACUCCAAUGCACUCACUGGAUCACCCAGCUGGACUUGGGAGUAGAAUCAAUUCUUUUGUAUGUCCUCAGUUGGCCUUUCUGGGAUGAACAGACGUUUCUUCAAACCUCCUCAGGAAAAUCCACACAUCAGUUUGUAAACCAGCAUAGCUGAACAGAAGAAGUAAUAAGAGGAACUGAUAGGCAGCUUGGGCAUGAGAGGCCACUGGCGGGUGUUCACUGAUGGCACCUGUAAGUAUAAUAUCUUAUGUGCACGAUCGCAUUAGCCUUUCAUAAGUGCUUCACUUAGCCCAUGAGUACAAAGACGGCACUUACAGUGCCUCACUCCAGACCACAGGUCAAUAAGUUGAGGCCUAGCAGGCUGACUUCACUAUCAGGCUUCGCUUUGGUAAUUGGAGUCUCUCUUAUAAUGAAAGGGAAUAUUGUAGGUUGUAAUUAAAAUGUCUAUAUUCUAUAACCAGAAAGAUGGAAUGGACAACUGACUGAAGAGCAAGUCUGUGCCACUGAAGGAGGUUCUCCUAGGCAGCACUGGCUGUGCGGGCCAUUUCUAGCUUUACAUUCCAGAGUGAGGCUCUGGCAAUGCCUCAGAGAUCACUCAAGAGCACCGAAGAGUCUGAUGUAGCAGUCAUAAGAGAAUCUUGAGGAAGCAACAUACUUUUUACCCACAAUGAAAUAUUACAUCAGAAGGUAUAUAAGAGUAUUCUGUCAAAAAUAUGUAGUAAACUGAAAAAUACAUACAAGUUCAUUUUUGAAAACUGUCUUCAGAUCAAGGUAAGAGACAGGUGUUAAAGGUUUUUAUGCUGAGUUUCUGUCUGGAUUAUUACAGAGGUCUCUUGACUCAUUCCCAAGUCCUCUUCCCCAGCACUAAGCUCUCAGCGCUAUGAUGCUUGAACACAGCAAACCAGACGAAGCUCAGCAGUGACUUGCAACCGCUUUCCCAUUAAAUCCUAUUCUCUCA